CUGAAAAGUUGAGUUCUAGCUUACUCAGAGAAUUAACUCCUUGGCGAUGGAUUCACAGCAUCUGGUGAGAUGCGAAUAUAUGUAUCCAAAGCAGAGCAUCUAGCACUUGAUUCGGUGAUGAUUCAUCUCCGGUGAUUGGCAUUGGCGAUGGCUAAUCGCUAGAGGCUUCAACUUUCCUAAAUUUUGUUCUGAUGGGGUUUGUUGUUGUUUUUGGGUUGCCCCGCUUAUUUGGGGCUUUUGUCUUUAUUUCUAUUGCUAGCUUUUACUUUGUAAGACUUUAUCUUUCUAUUAUUUAAUUUAAUAAAUAUCCCUCCACUAAGAAUACUUAGUGGUUGCUUAAAAAUAAAUAAAUAAAAAUAUUACAUAAAUUGGUACUGUGACCUAUGUUUAUAAUAAUUCUGAAAUUUCAAACUAUUAUAUUAUCUUUGUUAAUUAUCUUUAAAAUAGAUUAUUUAAAUUCAAAAUGCACCAGUAGAAAGUAGUAGUUCAUAAACAAUGAGUUACUUAAUAGAGAAAUUGAGUGUAGAAAAAAUUGGUGAUGUUAUUGUCUUUCAAGUUUCAUCAUUUUUUUUUAAAGAAAAAAAAGUAUAGAGAAAGAUAUGGAAGGGUAGAGUAGUGAAAAAAGAAAAACCAAGAAAGCACUUCAGCAUGUGAAAGGAAAAAGGGGAAAUGGCUAAAAUGACGCUCAAACUAUAAUCGUAUUUAUUCUGCUACACUCAUACUUUAUGGGGUACUAUUACCCCAUGGCUAUAUUUUUUUAGUACAUUUAUUUGACAUUUGAUUAUGGGGUGAGCUGGCCAAGAAAGUGAUAACAUGCACACGGAGCGUAGGGGCUAAUUAAGCCAUUCGUUGAAUUUUUGCCAUGUGGUGCUUCUACCGGUAAUUUCAUUAAUCCCUUAAACAUCGGUAUAGUUGCCUGAUUUUAGUACCCAUUUUUUUCUCCAUUGAAGCUCGGAAAUUCAAUUUUUUUCUCCAAAAUCACGGUUGUCUUGAAGAGCUUUGAAAUUCGAUCCUUUUAUCCAAAGUCAAGGAUGUCUUGAAGAGUCAUCAUUGAGAUGCAUUCAUUGGAUUUCCCCUACAAAAUUUGGAAAUAAAAAGGAGGACAGAACGAUAGCAAGAAAAAGAAGAAGCACAACAGAAGGAGGCUGCACCAAAGUGGCUAAACUUCAAAAAAUGUUGCAAGUGACUACCAGGUGUCAUUUCGGUAAAACUUUACCUGUACCCCGUAUUAACUUCAAAGGAUAUUAAUUCACAUUGUUAAGUUAUAUAUUAAGGUCUGAAUAUGUAAUAGUAAUAUGUGAAGACGUGUCAUAUAUUUAUUGAAGUUGGUGUAAAUAUCAUAUAUACGGGUAAAUUUCUACCGUCAUUUUUAAUUCUUC
Molecule: long non-coding RNA, 1379 nt
Organism: Lycium barbarum (goji berry)
Lineage: Eukaryota; Viridiplantae; Streptophyta; Magnoliopsida; Solanales; Solanaceae
Exons: 3
Source: RefSeq, a predicted model, not a curated record